RNAcentral lists this ribosomal RNA (461 nucleotides) under uncultured bacterium. Its description in RNAcentral is "SSU rRNA". It matches the Rfam family "Bacterial small subunit ribosomal RNA", at positions 26 to 517 of the family's 1533-position model. The record is from RNAcentral.
AGAACGAACGCUGGCGGCAUGCCUAACACAUGCAAGUCGAACGCUCAUCCGGCUUCGGCCGGAUGGGAGUGGCGCACGGGUGAGUAGCGCGUGGGAACCUGCCCUGUUGUGGGGGAUAACCGAGGGAAACUUCGGCUAAUACCGCAUGCGCCCCGGCGAAAGCCGGGGGAAAGAUUUAUCGCAGCAGGAGGGGCCCGCGUCGGAUUAGGUAGUUGGUGGGGUAACGGCCCACCAAGCCGAUGAUCCGUAGCUGGUCUGAGAGGAUGAUCAGCCACACUGGGACUGAGACACGGCCCAGACUCCUACGGGAGGCAGCAGUGGGGAAUAUUGGACAAUGGGGGCAACCCUGAUCCAGCAAUGCCGCGUGAGUGAUGAAGGCCUUAGGGUUGUAAAGCUCUUUCGCCCGCGACGAUGAUGACGGUAGCGGGAGAAGAGCCCGGCUAACGUCGUGCCAGCAGCCG